UCCGGUUUAACACCGGCAGUCUCGCUAGAGUGCCCGGCCGAACCGCUGGCAACUAACGACAAGGGUUGCGCUCGUUGCGGGACUUAACCCAACAUCUCACGGCACGAGCUGACGACAGCCAUGCAGCACCUGUCUCCGCGCCCCUUGCGGGGAGGGCCCAUCUCUGGGCUUAGCACGGGAUGUCAAGGCCUGGUAAGGUUCUGCGCGUUGCGUCGAAUUAAACCACAUGCUCCACCGCUUGUGCGGGCCCCCGUCAAUUCCUUUGAGUUUUAAUCUUGCGACCGUACUUCCCAGGCGGGAUGCUUAAUGCGUUAGCUGCGCCACUGACGAGUAAACCCGCCAACGGCUAGCAUCCAUCGUUUACGGCGUGGACUAC
This 376-nucleotide unclassified non-coding RNA is filed under the name uncultured Pseudomonadota bacterium. RNAcentral's name for it is "uncultured proteobacterium contains 16S-23S intergenic spacer region". Lineage: Bacteria; Pseudomonadati; Pseudomonadota. The record is from RNAcentral.